This 431-nucleotide ribosomal RNA is filed under the name Lamania sp. MR45. Its description in RNAcentral is "partial 16S ribosomal RNA". It matches the Rfam family "Bacterial large subunit ribosomal RNA", at positions 1832 to 2600 of the family's 2925-position model. The record is from RNAcentral. Lineage: Eukaryota; Metazoa; Arthropoda; Arachnida; Araneae; Tetrablemmidae.
CGCUAUAAGAAAUAAAUUAUAGUAAAUCCUGCUCAAUGAAAAUUAAAUAGCCGCAGUUACCUGUGCUAAGGUAGCAUAAUCAUUAGCCUUAUAAUUAAAGGAUAGUAUGAAUGGAUUAACGAGCAGAUAACUGUAUCCAAUUUAAACAACUAAACUUAUAAUCCAGUAAAAAAUCUGGUAUUUAAAAAAAGGACGACAAGACCCUAUCAAACUUAACACUAUGUUUAGCUGGGGCAGCUAACAAAUAAAACCUUAUAUUAACAAAACAACUAAUCCUAACAAAUGAAAAUCAAAGUUACUGUAGGGAUAACAGCAUAACCUAAUUUAAAAGCUCACAUAAAAAAUUAAAACUAUGACCUCGAUGUUGAAUAAUCUAGCUUAAUAAAGUAGCCAUUAUUACAGUACGUCUGUUCGACCUUUAAAAGAUUACA